UCAACUUGAGAGUUUGAUCCUGGCUCAGAACGAACGCUGGCGGCACGCCUAACACAUGCAAGUCGAGCGCACCUUCGGGUGAGCGGCGGACGGGUUAGUAACGCGUGGGAACAUACCCUUUUCUACGGAAUAGCCUCGGGAAACUGAGAGUAAUACCGUAUACGCCCUUCGGGGGAAAGAUUUAUCGGAGAAGGAUUGGCCCGCGUUAGAUUAGAUAGUUGGUGGGGUAAUGGCCUACCAAGUCUACGAUCUAUAGCUGGUUUGAGAGGAUGAUCAGCAACACUGGGACUGAGACACGGCCCAGACUCCUACGGGA
Molecule: ribosomal RNA, 316 nt
Filed under: Silicimonas sp.
Lineage: Bacteria; Pseudomonadati; Pseudomonadota; Alphaproteobacteria; Rhodobacterales; Paracoccaceae
Description: bacterial SSU rRNA
Rfam family: Bacterial small subunit ribosomal RNA
Source: RNAcentral